UACGUAGGGACCGAGCGUUGUCCGGAAUCAUUGGGCGUAAAGAGCGUGUAGGCGGCCCCUUAAGUCCUGCGUGAAAUCCUGCGGCUCAACCGCAGACGGUCGUGGGAAACUGGAGGGCUAGAGUGCGGGAGAGGAGAGUGGAAUUCCCGGUGUAGCGGUGAAAUGCGCAGAUAUCGGGAAGAACACCCGUGGCGAAGGCGGCUCUCUGGAACGCAACUGACGCUGAGACGCG
Molecule: ribosomal RNA, 232 nt
Filed under: uncultured bacterium
Lineage: Bacteria
Description: partial 16S ribosomal RNA
Rfam family: Bacterial small subunit ribosomal RNA
Source: RNAcentral